This 468-nucleotide ribosomal RNA is filed under the name uncultured bacterium. Its description in RNAcentral is "partial 16S ribosomal RNA". It matches the Rfam family "Bacterial small subunit ribosomal RNA", at positions 28 to 507 of the family's 1533-position model. The record is from RNAcentral.
GACGAACGCUGGCGGCGUGCUUAACACAUGCGAGUCGAACGGAAAGGCCCUGCUUUUGUGGGGUGCUCGAGUGGCGAACGGGUGAGUAACACGUGAGUAACCUGCCCUUGACUUUGGGAUAACUUCAGGAAACUGGGGCUAAUACCGGAUAGGAGCUCCUGCUGCAUGGUGGGGGUUGGAAAGUGUCGGCGGUUGGGGAUGGACUCGCGGCUUAUCAGCUUGUUGGUGGGGUAGUGGCUUACCAAGGCUUUGACGGGUAGCCGGCCUGGGAGGGUGACCGGCCACCUUGGGACUGAGAUACGGCCCAGACUCCUACGGGAGGCAGCAGUGGGGAAUAUUGCACAGUGGGCGGAAGCCUGAUGCAGCAACGCCGCGUGCGGGAUGACGGCCUUCGGGUUGUAAACCGCUUUCGCCUGUGACGAAGCGUGAGUGACGGUAAUGGGUAAAGAAGCACCGGCUAACUACGUG